CCUACGGGUGGCAGCAGUGGGGGAUAUUGCACAAUGGGCGAAACCCUGAUGCAGCGACGCCGCGUGGGCGAAGAAGUAUUUCGGUAUUUUAAGCCCUAUCUGCAGGGAAGAAGAAAUGACGGUACCUGACUAUGAAGCACCGGCUAAAUACGUGCCAGCAGCCGCGGUAAUACGUAUGGUGCAAGCGUUAUCCGGAUUUACUGGGUGUAAAGGGAGCGCAGGCGGCACGGCAAGCCUGAUGUGAAAGCCCGAGGCCCAACCGCGGGACUGCAUUGGGAACUACCGGGCUGGAGUGCCGGAGAGGUAGGCGGAAUGCGUAGUGUAGCGGUGAAAUGCGUAGAUAUUAGGAGGAACACCGGUGGCGAAGGCGGCCUACUGGACGGUAACUGACGCUGAGGCACGAAAGCGUGGGGAGCAAACAGGAUUAGAUACCCCAGUAGUC
This 442-nucleotide ribosomal RNA is filed under the name uncultured bacterium. RNAcentral's name for it is "partial 16S ribosomal RNA". It matches the Rfam family "Bacterial small subunit ribosomal RNA", at positions 338 to 795 of the family's 1533-position model. The record is from RNAcentral.